This 253-nucleotide ribosomal RNA is filed under the name uncultured bacterium. Its description in RNAcentral is "partial 16S ribosomal RNA". It matches the Rfam family "Bacterial small subunit ribosomal RNA", at positions 524 to 776 of the family's 1533-position model. The record is from RNAcentral.
GACAGAGGGUGCGAACGUUGCUCGGAAUUACUGGGCGUAAAGCGCGUGUAGGCGGGUGAUCAAGUCAGGUGUGAAAUCCCUGGGCUCAACCCAGGAACUGCACUUGAAACUGGUUGCCUUGAGUGUUGGAGAGGGAAGCGGAAUUCCUGGUGUAGAGGUGAAAUUCGUAGAUAUUGGGAAGAACACCGGUGGCGAAGGCGGCUCACUGGCUCAUUACUGACGCUCAGGCGCGACAGCGUGGGGAUCAAACAGG